This 9658-nucleotide long non-coding RNA is filed under the name Glycine max (soybean). RNAcentral describes it as "long non-coding RNA (GMAX_LNC001381)". Lineage: Eukaryota; Viridiplantae; Streptophyta; Magnoliopsida; Fabales; Fabaceae. The record is from RNAcentral.
AUCAAAUCCUUAUCUCAGAACGUGAUACCUUUGUUCAAAUCUAUAAUAUUUGGCUAAAAGAUUGUUGUUCAUAUUAGAUUACCAUGAUGCAUUCUUCCCAUAUUUGACGAGGAUAAACAGCCUACCUUCUGCAAAAACUUAUGCCACAAGAACAAUCCUAUUCUUGAAAGAUGAUGGAUCCUUAAAGCCACUUGCUAUCGAAUUAAGCAAGCCACAUCCUGGUGGAGAUAAUUUAGGUCCUGUGUGUGAAGUUGUGUUGCCUGCAGCUGAAGGUGUUGAAAGUACAAUUUGGCUGUUGGCCAAGGUUCAUGAUGUAAUUAUGGUGAAUGACUCUGGCUAUCAUCAGCUCAUAAGCCAUUGCUGAGAAUUGUGAAGAGUAGUUUAUAUUCACUUGGACUAUGGUGCCUUCCUGUCUCUACCUAUUCACUCAUUUGCUCGUCCCAGUUGGCUUUCAAUGCUUUCUUCUCCUACUUCCUCAACUCAUUCAAGUUCACACCUUACAUAAUCAACUCCCUAGUCCUUCUCACCAUUUCCUCAACCCUCCUGGUGUUUCAAAAUGAGUCAUCAUCAGAUGAUGAUGAUGAUUCAGAUUCCACAAAAAUCUCCACGAAAAAGUAUGCGAUUGAAUUCAUAUGCACAGUUGGUGCAUCUGCAGGGUAUGGACUACUUUCAAAGUGGUCUUGGAUAUGAUAUUAUACCCUUCCCUUGUAGCUACCCUUGUAUCUAUAAAGACUAAUAUAAUGUUUGAUAAGAGGGAAAUAAAACAGAGAAAAGAGAUUUUCAUAAACUGUUUGGUUCAAUUUUUAGAAGGAAAGGGAAGCAAAAUUCAUUCACGUCUAAUUUUUGUUCCCUCUAAUAUGGGAGAAUUUGGAGAAGCAAAGAAAAUUUUAAAUAUUUCACUUGAAAUAACUAAAUUUUUUUUACAGAUUUAAAAUUUUAAGAAAAUAAAGUAAAUUUAUUUUUAAAGCUCCACCCCUUCCCUCGUGAAGCAAAAAAGAAAAUGACUAUAUUUCCUCCACUCCAUUAAAAUUUAUUCCCUCCUUCCUCUCAACCAAAAAUAAUGUCUAAUCAGCAUUUGUUUUGACUCUUGUGUUUCAGUAUGUAAGAGAAUAUUAUAAUAUAAUUGGUUUAUCCAUAAUAAACAAAUUAAAUGGGUGUGUAAGAAUAAAAAAAUAGGAUGCAUAUAGCACGUGGUGCAUAGGAGGAGUUAGGUGGUAUCUAUAAAUAGGUAUGAUGCAGAUGGGGGUUAGUAAGUAAGAAAGUAAGAAAGUAGCAAAGAUGACAGGUGGGAUGUUUGGAAGGAAGGGGCAAAAGAUAAAGGGGACAGUGGUGUUGAUGCCAAAGAAUGUGUUGGACUUCAACGCCAUAACCUCCGUCGGAAAAGGCAGUGCUAAGGACACCGCCACCGAUUUCUUGGGCAAAGGCUUGGACGCAUUAGGUCAUGCAGUUGAUGCUCUCACUGCCUUCGCUGGCCAUAGCAUCUCCUUGCAGCUUAUCAGUGCUACUCAGACUGAUGGUACUUUCUUCUCUCCUUGCUCUUACCUUCCCCAAAACAAUAUUAUUAUUAUCUUUUUCCUUCCCUCCAAACAUGUUUGUUUUGGAUUAAGCGUCUCAGACUCAAAACCUAAAUAUUAUUCACUUCUCCAUAAGAUUACUUGAUUACCUAUCAUAUAAAUCAGUGGCAAGAAAAAAAGUUGGGAAAGUAGAAUUAAAAUUUGAAUAAAAACCAUUCUUAAAUUACUUGCUAUUACAUAAUUUCAUCCCAUUUCUAUCAUAAAAAAAAUCUUCAAAUAAUUCGCCAUGCAAUUACUUUCUACCAAAUCAUUUAAUGUUCACAUAAUAAUAAAUAUUCAACCAUCACGUACAAUUUUAUAUAACUAGUUGUAUGUCCGUUCUCUUAUAAAAAUAACUCUUAUUAAUUAAUGUGUGCUAAUAUAUCGGAUCCUAUCAGAAUUUUACAAAUGUGAUUAGACAAAAGUAAUACUAAAAUGAGUGAUCUCCUGACACAAUUUGGGGGACCAGGCUCUCCCUAUCAAUAAGAAGUUCCACCCCUUAAUCAUCUCAUAAAUUUUAAGAAAAUAAUGUAUAUAUUUUAUAUUAUUAUUCAAACAGACAGAAAUUAUUAUGUAUAAUAAAUUGAUUAUCUCUAAUAAUUUUUAAUUAAUUUAAAAUAUAAAAUUUAUAUGUAAUAUUUUAUAUUCAUCAUUCGUACAAAUUAAACUCUUUUCCCAUACUUCUUAAAAAUGUCUUUUUCUUUUUUCUUUCUUUUUUUCAUUUCCAGACCGAAACCUCAAUAAUUCAAGGAGUCGCUUAUCUAACUUCUGCUUGCAUUUCUUAGAGUUCGAAUAUACAGUUUAUUUAAAUAUUUAUUAUAUAAACUUUUGUAAAAUCAUAUUAUAAUUUUGAUAAUAACUUUUUAAAUAAGUUAAAACCCUAUUGUAAUAAACUUAAACGAUGAAGUGGGACAAAAUACAUUUUAACAAUUAACUUCACAAUUUAUGUUCCGAAAAUUACUCCUGGUAAGUGGGAUAUAGUGAGUUUUGUUUCUUUUUUUAAUUAUUACUAUUAUUAUUAUAGGGACUUAUCGUAAGUUAUUUUUGUUUUUAUGACUAUUGUAUUGUAGGUAGUGGAAAAGGAAAAGUUGGAAACGAAGCCUAUUUGGAAAAACAUCUUCCGACCUUGCCAACGUUGGGAGCAAGGCAGGAAGCAUUCGAUAUUAACUUUGAAUGGGAUGCUAGUUUUGGAAUUCCAGGAGCAUUUUACAUCAAAAACUUUAUGACUGAUGAGUUUUUCCUCGUCAGUGUUAAACUCGAGGACAUUCCAAACCAUGGAACCAUUAACUUCGUUUGUAACUCAUGGGUUUAUAACUUCAAAAGUUACAAAAAGAAUCGCAUUUUCUUUGUCAAUGAUGUAAGUUCUGCACCUAGCUACUCAUUUGUUUCAAAGUCUAAGGCUUUGUUUGGAUAAAAGUUACGUUCAACAUAACUAUCGUUUAUCUCGACGAGACAACAUACUUACGUCUCAGUUCGGUGCAUCAAAAAGCGUGUUUCUCCAUUUGACAAGCUUCAAACUGCAAUCAAAACACACACUAAGUUCUAUUUUGCUAAUGUGUACAAAAUUUGGCCCAGUUUUUUUUUUCCAAUUAUAGUCCUACACAUUUUUAUUUAAAUUCUUUAAUGACUAAGUUCAUGAAUUAUAUUGCAGACAUAUCUUCCGAGUGCUACACCAGGUCCACUAGUUAAGUACAGACAAGAAGAAUUGGAGGUUUUAAGAGGAGAUGGAACAGGGAAGCGCAGAGACUUUGACAGAAUCUAUGAUUAUGAUAUCUAUAAUGAUUUGGGCAAUCCAGAUGGUGGUGAUCCUCGCCCAAUCAUUGGAGGCUCUAGCAACUAUCCUUACCCUCGCAGGGUUAGAACCGGUAGAGAAAAGACCAGGAAAGGUUAGAAUUUUAUAUUUUUGUAAGACUUAAAUAUGUUUUACAUUCUUCAUAAAUUAUCUAUUUUUAUUUUAGGUCCUAAAUUUUUUUUCGUUGCAUUAGAUUUUUGAUAUAUCAAAACUUUUGUUAACAACAUGUUACAAUGUGACUGUAGAAUUGUUUUAUUGUAUUGAGAACAUAUAUCUGGAAAGAAUAUAUAUCUCCCAUUGUAAGAAUAACAUACUAGUAUGAUUGUUUGUUGAUAUUUAUAUUACCAUUGCUUGAUCGGUAACAGAUCCCAACAGUGAGAAACCAGGCGAGAUAUAUGUUCCAAGAGAUGAAAACUUCGGUCACUUGAAGUCAUCUGAUUUCCUUACAUAUGGAAUCAAAUCCUUAUCUCAGAACGUGAUACCUUUGUUCAAAUCUAUAAUAUUUGACUUAAGGGUCACAUCGAGUGAGUUCGAUAGCUUCGACGAAGUGCGUGGUCUCUUUGAAGGUGGAAUCAAGCUGCCAACAAAUAUACUGAGCCAAAUUAGCCCCUUACCAGUCCUCAAGGAAAUCUUCCGCACUGAUGGUGAAAAUACCCUUCAAUUUCCACCACCUCAUGUAAUCAGAGGUACUUUGAUUAUACAUCGUGGUCAAAACAACUUAAUAUAUUAGCAUUUGUUGAAUUAAUACAAUUUGACAAUUAUUUUCUUUCUGAUUUGAGCAGUUAGUAAAUCUGGAUGGAUGACUGAUGAUGAGUUUGCAAGAGAGAUGAUUGCUGGUGUAAAUCCAAAUGUAAUUCGUCGUCUUCAAGUAAGUCCAAAUGUUUUGUUUUAUUAUCGGGUCCCCUAUAUGAGUAUAUGUCAUUUUUCCUAAUAUCAAUUUUUAAUAAUGGCAGGAGUUCCCACCAAAAAGCACUCUUGAUCCCGCAACCUAUGGUGAUCAAACUAGUACCAUAACAAAACAACAGUUGGAGAUUAACUUGGGUGGGGUCACAGUAGAAGAGGUACUUUAUAUAUAUGUAUAUUAGUAGAUGAGGUACUGAUAUACAUGUUCCACUCUAAAAUAUCAUUGAAUUUCUAGCUAGCUAGCAUGACUCUUGCUAUAUUCUCUUAUAAUUUCUUUUAAAUAAUCCUUCUAAAUACAACAAAAAAAAAUACACUAAAUAAAUAUUAUAAAAAAAAGUCAAUAUUUAAUUUCUCUACUUGGAUUUUGAAUUAUUCUUGUUAGUAUAGACUAUAGAGGCACUUAAAGUCAUAUGGUUAAUUUGUAAUUUGAACUUAUGAAGCAUUGUGUCUGAAUAUAAAUUUUGUGGAACAGGCAAUUAGUGCUCACAGAUUAUUCAUAUUAGAUUACCAUGAUGCAUUCUUCCCGUAUUUGACGAAGAUAAACAGCCUACCUAUUGCAAAAGCUUAUGCCACAAGGACAAUCCUGUUCUUGAAAGACGAUGGAUCUUUAAAGCCACUUGCUAUCGAAUUAAGCAAGCCUGCAACAGUGAGUAAAGUGGUGUUGCCUGCAACAGAAGGUGUUGAGAGUACAAUUUGGUUGUUGGCCAAGGCUCAUGUCAUUGUGAAUGACUCUGGUUAUCAUCAGCUCAUAAGCCAUUGGUAAGAACUUCCUUAGCAAUACUUAGUCCAUGUAAACUGUAUAGCGUAUGUGCAUAUGAAAUUAUUAUUGAUCAUUUCUUUUUUUGUCGGGGUUAUAGGUUAAAUACUCAUGCAGUGAUGGAGCCAUUUGCCAUAGCAACAAACAGGCAUCUCAGUGUGCUUCACCCCAUUUAUAAACUUCUUUAUCCUCACUACAAGGACACAAUAAAUAUCAAUGGCCUUGCUAGGCAGUCCCUGAUUAACGCAGGUGGCAUUAUUGAGCAAACAUUUUUGCCUGGAAAGUACUCCAUUGAAAUGUCAUCAGUUGUUUACAAGAAUUGGGUUUUCACUGACCAAGCAUUACCAGCUGAUCUUGUCAAGAGGUAAUCAUCAUUAAAUAUACUACUUCACCUGCAAAAAGAAUAUAUAAAAUUUUGAGUUAUUGAUAAGGCAUUUAAAUGGGGUUUAACUUUUAUGUAUGGUUAAUCUAAAAUAAUUUGUCCUGUCAAUCAAUCAGAAAUCAAAUCACGUAUGACUUCUAAAGUAGUUAUUGUCAAAAUUAAUGAACUUACCAUAUACCAGUAUAUCAAUUGGUGAUUUGGUGACCUGUGGUCCAUGGACUAUUUAUUCUUCAAGACAUUAUGGAUUGAAAUGUUUUUUUUUUUUAAUUGCAACAUGAACAAUUCUAGUUAUGGGACAACAAAAACAAUAAUUUCCAUUUAUAUUGGAAAAAAUUCAGAGAGGUUUGUUGAAUUUGUCAUUAACAUUUUUCUUUUUUUGUUUUGGCUUGAUUAAGAGGAUUGGCAGUUGAGGAUCCCUCUGCCCCACAUGGUCUUCGCCUUGUGAUAGAGGACUACCCUUAUGCUGUUGAUGGACUUGAAAUAUGGGAUGCUAUUAAGACAUGGGUCCAUGAGUAUGUCUCUGUGUAUUACCCAACAAAUGCAGCAAUUCAACAAGACACUGAACUUCAAGCAUGGUGGAAGGAAGUUGUGGAGAAGGGUCAUGGUGACUUAAAAGAUAAGCCUUGGUGGCCUAAACUGCAGACUGUGGAGGAUCUCAUUCAAUCCUGCUCUAUUAUCAUAUGGACAGCUUCGGCUCUCCAUGCAGCUGUUAAUUUUGGGCAAUACCCUUAUGGAGGUUAUAUCGUGAACCGUCCAACUCUAGCCAGAAGGUUUAUCCCAGAAGAAGGAACCAAAGAAUAUGAUGAGAUGGUGAAGGAUCCUCAAAAGGCAUAUCUGAGAACAAUCACACCCAAGUUCGAGACCCUUAUUGACAUUUCAGUGAUAGAGAUAUUGUCAAGGCAUGCUUCUGAUGAGGUCUACCUUGGCCAAAGGGAUAAUCCAAAUUGGACUACGGAUUCAAAGGCAUUGGAAGCUUUCAAAAAGUUUGGAAACAAACUGGCAGAAAUUGAGGGAAAAAUCACACAGAGGAACAAUGAUCCAAGUCUGAAAAGCCGACAUGGGCCAGUUCAGCUUCCAUACACAUUGCUCCAUCGUUCAAGUGAGGAAGGGAUGAGUUUCAAAGGAAUUCCCAACAGUAUCUCCAUCUAAAAUGUGUGUGUGGUUUGCUUAUCUAUUGUGCUUUUGAAUAAAAUAGACAAUACUUGUCUAUGGUUAUUAUUGGCUGUAUGUCUGUAUUUGGAUGCUCUCGAUCGGUUUGCAAGUAAUAAGAGUGUUUUCACUGUCACUUUGUAUUUCGAUCAUCUUAAUUAUGUUUACUAGUAAUAAUGUGGAAGCUGUACGUUUGUUAAUUCUAGGUUAAAUAAUAGAGCAAUUGUUUUUGAACUAUUUGAGAAUUGUUAAGGUCUCUUCACUAGAUCACUAUGAAAUCCUUUCUCACCACUACCAUGAUUUAUGACCAAGUCCUUCAACUAUGUCACAUGCUUACCUUUCUUGUGAGUCGUAGUCUAGCUACAUGACACAAUUCUUAGGGACCAUAUUCUUGAUAUCACUUCUCUGACUCAUAAACAAAGAUAAUAUAUAUAUAUAUAUAUAUAUAUAUAUGAUCAGUUUUUUUAUUGAUCUACAAUAUCCAUCUCAAUAUUUUAAAUAUAUCAUUGCUUCACAUAUUCCACUGAUUUCCAAAGAAGUCAAUGUAGAAUGACAAUGUGAAAAUCAUUUUUUAUACUAGUGAAUCAGUAUUUCAUGUUUCUUUAGAAAGAUAAUUUUUUUAUAAAUAGUUAUUAAAUGAUUUAUUUUUAUUUAAUAAUUUUAUAAUAAAUAUUUUUUUAUUUUCUUAAUUGGUAGCAUAUUCAUAUAAUUAAAAAUAGAAAAGAUAAUCCGGAACGUCCAAACUCAAUUAAAAAGAAACAUAAAUUAUUAUUUAAAACAUAAACCAUAUUUUUAAAAAAAACCUAACCCAAUGCCACUGUGUAUAUAAGAACAGAAGAAAUCAAAAGAAUCAAUUUGAAUAUAAUUAAGUAUGCAUAGAACGUGUUGCAUAUGGGGGAGGAGGUGCCCAUAGAAAAAUGAAUUAACCGGUGGAGCUCAUAUUAAAAAAAUGAUGUUUAUACUUUCUCCCUUCUCAAGUCCUCUAUAAAUACCAAAAUAUUCUUGGCUUCCUCACACCACAAGCUUCUCCUUCUUUUGGGAAAAGAUUAACAAUAAAAGUGUGGAGUACUGUUGAUAGCAAAGAUGUUUGGGAUCUUCGACAAGGGGCAAAAGAUAAAGGGGACAGUGGUGUUGAUGCCAAAGAAUGUGUUGGACUUCAACGCCAUAACCUCCAUCGGUAAAGGUGGUGUUAUUGACACAGCCACCGGCAUCUUAGGCCAAGGCGUCAGCUUAGUUGGUGGAGUAAUUGAUACUGCCACUUCCUUCUUAGGCCGUAAUAUCUCCAUGCAAUUGAUCAGUGCUACUCAGACUGAUGGUUUGUUCACUCUCAUCCUUCAAACUCUUUUCUGUAAUAACAUUACAUUAUAUUAAUAAUUGUUUUCAAUAAUUCAAAUUUAAUAGUUAUGCACUUACUGACCCCACUGUGUAAAUUAUUUCAUUUACAAAUUAUAUUUGGUAUGACUUUUGACAUAAUAAUAAUUACAAAAUUAUCAUUUUUGUAUUUUGAUCACAGUAUAAAACAAGUCUCGUAUAAUUAUACUAAAGAUUGUAGUACCAAAAUUAGACUCUUAAUAAUUAAUACUACCGCUGACACAUCCCAUGCAUCCAGCUCUAGUUAUUCUUGAAAUAUGCAAGGGCCAAGGCCAAGGAGUCACUUACCUAACUUUACCUUGUAUCUCUUAGGCUUUGAAUAUAUUUUUCUUAGAUAAGAUAACAAAAAAUAUUAUUUUGAUGAAGUUAACUUUACAAAGGAAGAAAAAAUAAAUAAAAAAUUCAUUAUAAGAAUUAAAUUCACAAUUUACGUUCCAACAUUAAAUCCACUACACAACCAGGCUGAUGCAAGUAUCACUUUUUACAGAUUAUUGGUCGAUCACAAUCUCACAAACUCAUCACUUAUAACUAUUUUUUUUAUGAAUUGUUGUUUUGUAUGGUUUUUGCAGGCAGUGGAAAUGGGAAAGUUGGAAAAGAAGUCUAUUUGGAAAAACAUCUUCCGACCUUGCCAACGUUGGGAGCAAGGCAGGAUGCGUUCAGUAUUUUCUUUGAAUGGGAUGCUAGUUUUGGAAUUCCAGGAGCAUUUUACAUCAAAAACUUUAUGACUGAUGAGUUUUUCCUCGUCAGUGUUAAACUCGAGGACAUUCCAAACCAUGGAACCAUUGAAUUUGUUUGCAACUCAUGGGUUUACAACUUCAGGAGUUACAAAAAGAAUCGCAUUUUCUUUGUCAAUGAUGUAAGCUUCUUUGUUUUUUUCAAUUAUGGUCCCAAUCAAUUUUGUUUUCAUUCUUUAAAUGAAAUAUAUUGUAGACAUAUCUUCCAAGUGCCACACCAGCUCCACUACUUAAGUACAGAAAAGAAGAAUUGGAGGUUUUAAGAGGAGAUGGAACAGGGAAGAGAAAGGACUUUGACAGAAUCUAUGAUUAUGAUGUCUAUAAUGAUUUGGGCAAUCCAGAUGGUGGUGAUCCUCGCCCAAUCCUUGGUGGGUCUAGCAUCUAUCCCUACCCUCGCAGGGUUAGAACAGGAAGAGAAAGGACCAGGACAGGUUAGACUUUUAUUUUUUGUCUUAUGUAUUCAAUUAUCAUGUUAGUAUUAUAAAAAGGUAACCAAUAAAUAAUAUUACAUUCGAUUUCUUUAAAUAAAAUUUUGAUUUUAACCUUGUAAAUGAGAAAAAAGUAAUUUAAAAUGAAAGAUCUGUCAGUGAAUUUUCCAAUAAACUGUAAUCAACAAUAUCAAUAUGCGAUGUGAUUGUAGAAUGGUAUGAUAUAAUUGUGUUGAGAAUAUAUAUCUAAUAAUACCAUUUCCAAUGAUACAAAAAAUAUUUAUUUGAUUAUUGUUUGAGCGGUAACAGAUCCCAACAGUGAGAAACCGGGCGAGGUUUAUGUUCCAAGAGAUGAAAAUUUUGGUCACUUGAAGUCAUCGGAUUUCCUUACAUACGGAAUCAAAUCCUUAUCUCACGAUGUGAUACCUUUGUUCAAAUCUGCAAUUUUUCAAUUAAGGGUCACAUCGAGUGAGUUUGAAAGCUUCGAAGAUGUGCGUAGUCUCUAUGAGGGUGGAAUUAAAUUGCCAACAGAUAUACUGAGCCAAAUUAGCCCCUUACCAGCCCUCAAGGAAAUCUUCCGCACUGAUGG